UUAGAUACCCUAUUAUACUAAUAAUAGCUCUGAGUAUUAAUAGAUAUAAUUCUUCAAAUUCAAAGAAUUUGGCGGUGACUUAGUCUUGUUAGAGGAACCUGUUUUUAAAUCGAUAAACCACGUUAAAUUUUACUCGCUUUUGUAUCCAGCUUAUAUACCGUCAUUAUCAGAUAAUUUUCAAAGAAAGAAUUAUUAUAAACUAUUAUAAGAUAGAUAAAAUUAGAUCAAGGUGUAGCUAAUAAACGAGUUAAAAUGGGUUACAGUAAAAUUAAUUUAUCACGGAAUACUUAUAAAAAUUUAUAGUAGUAAGGAGGAUUUAAUUGUAAUGUAAGUUUAACAAGCUUAGAAGAUAUAAGCCCUAAGUCAUGUACAUAUCGCCCGUCGCUA
RNAcentral lists this ribosomal RNA (387 nucleotides) under Garthiella aberrans. Its description in RNAcentral is "partial 12S ribosomal RNA". The record is from RNAcentral. Lineage: Eukaryota; Metazoa; Arthropoda; Malacostraca; Decapoda; Xanthidae.